UAGAGAUUCGCGGUUCAACACCCACCCACAGAAACGGUAGUCUGUCCUCCCAUAGUUGAUUUUGUAUUGAACAGCAUUUUAUGGCAGCCAUGGAUGCUACAUCGCUGAUUUGCAUAUGUCACAGCAAGCCGUUUAUUAGGAUAGUAAGUAGAAAAUGCAUUUCCAACGCGCUCUUAAUGUAAUACACAAGCACUCUUGUGGGACACAGGAUAAU
This 214-nucleotide long non-coding RNA is filed under the name Drosophila guanche. The record is from RNAcentral. Lineage: Eukaryota; Metazoa; Arthropoda; Insecta; Diptera; Drosophilidae.